AAGUCGUAACAAGGUUUCCGGUGAACCUGCGGAAGGCAUUAACACGUAUCCAACGUUAAACAACCCUGUGAACUUCCAACGCUCUUGUAACCAGGCGAAACAGCAAUCCCGGUAAAUCAGUGGGCGGAAAAGUUUUGAUUCGGGACCUCUGUCCAAAAGUUACAAUCGAGCUAGGAGCAGUUUCCCUAAGCAGUGCAGAAGGAUCCACUGAGUAAGGGUCGAUCACCGGCCGGCAGACAUGUCACAGGGCUUCAUUCACACCUUGCUCUCUCAUGCCCGCCGGAAACGCCGGGCACAAAAACCGAACAACUGUUAACAAUGGAUAUCUUGGUUCUC
RNAcentral lists this unclassified non-coding RNA (336 nucleotides) under fungal sp. Its description in RNAcentral is "partial internal transcribed spacer region". Lineage: Eukaryota; Fungi. The record is from RNAcentral.